Gallibacterium anatis is the source of this 85-nucleotide non-coding RNA. The record is from Rfam. NCBI's taxonomy places the organism in Bacteria, Pseudomonadati, Pseudomonadota, Gammaproteobacteria, Pasteurellales, Pasteurellaceae.
GUCGUUCCGUUUUUCGUUCCUUGCUUCCGCAGAUUGGCGACUGGUCUAUAGUCGGAGGCUGAUUAACCCGUAAGGAGCAGCAAUG